GCUAAACGCGAAGAACCUUACCUGGUCUUGACAUCCAUGGAACCCUGCAGAGAUGCGGGGGUGCCGUAAGGAACCAUGAGACAGGUGCUGCAUGGCUGUCGUCAGCUCGUGUCGUGAGAUGUUGGGUUAAGUCCCGCAACGAGCGCAACCCUUGUCCCUAGUUGCCAGCACUUCGGGUGGGAACUCUAGGGAGACCGCCGGUGACAAACCGGAGGAAGGUGGGGAUGAUGUCAAGUCAUCAUGGCCCUUAUGGGCAGGGCUACACACGUGCUACAAUGGCCGGUACAAAGGGCUGCCAACCCGCGAGGGGGAGCUAAUCCCAAAAAGCCGGUCGUAGUCCGGAUCGGAGUCUGCAACUCGACUCCGUGAAGUCGGAAUCGCUAGUAAUCGCAGAUCAGCAUUGCUGCGGUGAAUACGUUCCCGGGUCUUGUACACACCG
RNAcentral lists this ribosomal RNA (439 nucleotides) under uncultured bacterium. RNAcentral's name for it is "bacterial SSU rRNA". It matches the Rfam family "Bacterial small subunit ribosomal RNA", at positions 954 to 1392 of the family's 1533-position model. The record is from RNAcentral.